GGAAAGAUGGCUGAGUGGUUAUAGCAAUAGAUUGCUAAUCUAUACAUUGGCGAAGCUGAUGUCGAGGGUUCGAAUCCCUCUCUUUCCU
This 88-nucleotide transfer RNA is filed under the name Nuclearia simplex. RNAcentral describes it as "tRNA-Ser". It matches the Rfam family "tRNA". Rfam says of the family: Transfer RNA (tRNA) molecules are approximately 80 nucleotides in length. Their secondary structure includes four short double-helical elements and three loops (D, anti-codon, and T loops). Further hydrogen bonds mediate the characteristic L-shaped molecular structure. tRNAs have two regions of fundamental functional importance: the anti-codon, which is responsible for specific mRNA codon recognition, and the 3' end, to which the tRNAs corresponding amino acid is attached (by aminoacyl-tRNA synthetases). tRNAs cope with the degeneracy of the genetic code in two manners: having more than one tRNA (with a specific anti-codon) for a particular amino acid; and 'wobble' base-pairing, i.e. permitting non-standard base-pairing at the 3rd anti-codon position. The record is from RNAcentral. Lineage: Eukaryota; Rotosphaerida; Nucleariidae.